Long non-coding RNA from Podarcis raffonei (Aeolian wall lizard), 363 nucleotides. RefSeq lists it as uncharacterized. The record is from RefSeq and is a predicted model, not a curated record. NCBI's taxonomy places the organism in Eukaryota, Metazoa, Chordata, Lepidosauria, Squamata, Lacertidae. The transcript has 2 exons.
GCUGAGCUCUACAUUUAAAUGCUGGGAUACUUGUUAGGAAUUUGCAGGGAGAUGGUAUCAAUCAAUAUGAGAUCUCGUGCCAGCAGUGUUCUGAGUGUUGGCUCAGAAGCAAAGGCCUCUGUUUUGAUUGCCUUGCGGUGGAGUUUAUGUAUAGUGCUUAAUGUGGCUGGUUGGUUUAUUGGCAUUUAGUGUGGGCAGGUCAGCUUGUUUCUUCUCUCUUCCUGGAUUAGUCAUAUGGGUCAAAGAUCAUCCAGUGGACAUGAUGACAUCACAGCACCAUUGGGUGGUGAGAGGUUGGCCGCAGAACAUUUUGCUUCAGAUGACUCAAGGAAAUGGUUCAUAAAAGCUGUUCAUAAAAUACAA